Long non-coding RNA from Entelurus aequoreus (snake pipefish), 199 nucleotides. RefSeq lists it as uncharacterized. The transcript is spliced from 3 exons. The record is from RefSeq and is a predicted model, not a curated record. NCBI's taxonomy places the organism in Eukaryota, Metazoa, Chordata, Actinopteri, Syngnathiformes, Syngnathidae.
GCCAACAGCAGGAGACCUGCUCCUGACAAGCGACGCCAAAUGAUUAGAAUCCUUGUGGAUGAAAUGAGAAGAUGUCUGCCACUGCAGCCGAUGUGGAGCGGACACUGACCCUCCCGACCAGUCCACGACUGAUACUGCUGGAUGGGGAGUUGACUCUUCGUAUCAUCCAGCUGUUGAUGGCCUAUUUUGAUGAAAGAAG